AUGCAGUCGAACGAAUGCCGCGGGGGUAACUCCGCGGCGGAAGUGGCGAAAGGGGCAGUAAGGCAUGGGUAACCUGCCCCGGACUUCGGGAUAGCCUUCCUAACGGAUGGGUAAUACCGAAUGCCGUGACGUGGGGGCAUCCUCGUGUCACGAAAGCUCCGGCGGUCCGGGAGGGGCUCACGUGGUAUUAGCUUGUUGGUGAGGUUACGGCUCACCAAGGCCAAGAUGCCUAGCAGGUGUGAGAGCACGACCUGCGCCACUGGCACUGGGACACUGGCCAGACUCCUACGGGAGGCUGCAGUCGAGGAUCUUCGGCAAUGGGCGAAAGCCUGACCGAGCGACGCCGCGUGUGCGAUGAAGGCCUUCGGGUUGUAAAGCACUGUCGUGGGGGAGAAGGCCCGCGAGGGUUGAUCGACCCCAGGAGGAAGCUCGGGCUAAGUUCGUGCCAGCAGCCGCGGUAAGACGAGCCGAGCGAACGUUGUUCGGAAUCACUGGGCUUAAAGGGCGCGUAGGCGGGCGAUCAAGUCAGGGGUGAAAGUCUCCAGCUCAACUGGAGAAGUGCCUCUGAUACUGGCCGUCUCGAGGGAGAUAGGGGCGUGCGGAACUUCCGGUGGAGCGGUGAAAUGCGUAGAUAUCGGAAGGAACACCGGUGGCGAAAGCGGCGCGCUGGAUCUCUUCUGACGCUGAGGCGCGAAAGCCAGGGGAGCGAACGGGAUUAGAUACCCCGGUAGUCCUGGNCCUAAACGAUGGGUACUAGAUUGUGGGCUUACAUGGGCUCACAGUC
Molecule: ribosomal RNA, 784 nt
Filed under: uncultured bacterium
Lineage: Bacteria
Description: bacterial SSU rRNA
Rfam family: Bacterial small subunit ribosomal RNA
Source: RNAcentral